Molecule: long non-coding RNA, 1524 nt
Filed under: Olea europaea subsp. europaea
Lineage: Eukaryota; Viridiplantae; Streptophyta; Magnoliopsida; Lamiales; Oleaceae
Source: RNAcentral
CAUUUAUAAAAAUCUCCCCCCAAAAGGCUUCAUCGCGAUGUCGGAAUCCCCACUCUUCAAAAUGAUUUCUCUACGAGUUUCUUGACUUUCUUCUCACUUCUAAAAAAUCAUCCCGAGUAGAUGGUAGGGGUCAACGGCCUAAGAUUCUCCCCCUUACUUCAUCCAGUUUGCGAUUGAGACUAGCAAGGAAUUCGAAAAGCAGCUCAUUUUCGACCCUCUUCUUGUAGAGGAUGCUAUAACCGGGGCAAUCCCAUUCCUCAUCAAGGCUAAGGUCGAGUUCUUGCCACAAAUUAGUCAUCUCCAAGUAAUAAUCUGUGACCUCCCUUUUCUGACUGUUUGGUUUGCCAUAGCCACGUUUUUAUUUCGAAAAUAUGUGACGCAUUUUUUCCAUCGGAGUAGGUUUCUUUCACUGCUUCCUAUACUUCCUUUGCUGUCGACGGAAAUAAGAAGUUUUCCCUAUGGAUGGAAUCAUGGAAUUCACGAGCCAUGCAUUUAUCAUGGCGUUCUCAGAUCUUCACUUCUGAGGAAGAGUGGUUUUAAUCGGCUGCUUGGUGUCACCAGUGAGGUAACCUAGUUUUCCUUUGCCUUCAAUUAUCAAUUUGAUAGAUUGAGCCCAUGCUCGAAAAUUCCUUCCAUUCAAUUUUUUGACACAGAGUAGUAAAGAAGGAUUUUCGACAUUAUUGGAGCUCAUAGAGGAGAUAAUUUCUGCCUCACUUAGAGAGGAAUCAGAAGUUGUAGAAUCCCUAGUGUUGGUUGUCAUUGAUUGUUAGGUUGAUUUGGAACCUAGCUCUAAUACCAUGAAGAGAAAAACACACAAAUGAUUGUGUGAAAUUGAUUGGGAGAGAGCUAAUUAGCCUACCAAACUAUGGAAAGUUUAAGUAUGGUACAUCAAUCAAUCCUAUUCACCCUAAAUAUGGUACAUCAAUCAAUCAACAAUUAAAACCAGAUUUCUACAUAUGUAUAUCAAAUUAUGAUUUCAUCUCAAGUUUGGAGAUUAUUUUUAAUGCUAGUACUCCUUUUCUGCUCCAAUCAACCUGUUAUAUUAUAUGCAUCGAUCUCUGUAUUUGUGCUCAACUAUCUCAGAGAAGAAAAACUUGGUCAUAGUAGUGGUGCAUUGUGCUGCCAUGUUAAUAGUUGAUCCAUGUUCAUAAUUCUAUAAUUUUCUACCUGCUUUAUAUUUUCUAAAUAGAAUCAGAUCAUCAGCAUCAAUUGCUUUAUUAUCAAUUAUAAUAUCUAUGAUGGCUAAAACGAAGAAUGCAUCCAUUUUCAGCAUGUGAUAUGCUACGUGUGAAGCUGAAGGAUAAUUUUGUUGCAUAAUUGUACACCCAUACCCUACUAUAUGAUACAGUGCGUUGAUAAAAUUAUGCUGUACAAUACAAGUGGUGAUUAUAUUCUAAGAUUUUCAAAACACUCUUGCUCAACACCUAUUUCUGGAAAUUUGUUAGUUUACUAACUUUUAUUGUUCCCAGUGGUUCUGGAAAGUAAGCCUGAGUCUUAGCUGACAAUUCUUGUGCAACAAAACGC